Molecule: ribosomal RNA, 497 nt
Filed under: uncultured bacterium
Lineage: Bacteria
Description: partial 16S ribosomal RNA
Rfam family: Bacterial small subunit ribosomal RNA
Source: RNAcentral
GACGAACGCUGGCGGCGUGCCUAAUACAUGCAAGUUGAGCGCUGAAGGUUGGUACUUGUACCAACUGGAUGAGCAGCGAACGGGUGAGUAACGCGUGGGGAAUCUGCCUUUGAGCGGGGGACAACAUUUGGAAACGAAUGCUAAUACCGCAUAAAAACUUUAAACACAAGUUUUAAGUUUGAAAGAUGCAAUUGCAUCACUCAAAGAUGAUCCCGCGUUGUAUUAGCUAGUUGGUGAGGUAAAGGCUCACCAAGGCGAUGAUACAUAGCCGACCUGAGAGGGUGAUCGGCCACAUUGGGACUGAGACACGGCCCAAACUCCUACGGGAGGCAGCAGUAGGGAAUCUUCGGCAAUGGACGAAAGUCUGACCGAGCAACGCCGCGUGAGUGAAGAAGGUUUUCGGAUCGUAAAACUCUGUUGGUAGAGAAGAACGUUGGUGAGAGUGGAAAGCUCAUCAAGUGACGGUAACUACCCAGAAAGGGACGGCUAACUACGAG